GACGAACGCUGGCGGCGUGCUUAACACAUGCAAGUCGAACGGAAAGGCCCUGCUUUUGUGGGGUGCUCGAGUGGCGAACGGGUGAGUAACACGUGAGUAACCUGCCCUUGACUUUGGGAUAACUUCAGGAAACUGGGGCUAAUACCGGAUAGGAUCUCCUGCUGCAUGGUGGGGGUUGGAAAGUUUCGGCGGUUGGGGCUGGACUCGCGGCUUAUCAGCUUGUUGGUGGGGUAGUGGCUUACCAAGGCUUUGACGGGUAGCCGGCCUGAGAGGGUGACCGGGGACAUUGGGACUAAGAUACGGCCCAGACUCCAACGGGAGGCAGCAGUGGGAAAUAUUGCACACUGGGCGGAAGCCUGAUGCAGCAACCCCGCGUGCGGGAUGACGGCCUUCGGGUUGUAAACCGCUUUCGCCUGUGACGAAGCGUGAGUGACGGUAAUGGGUAAAGAAGCACCGGCUAACUACGUG
RNAcentral lists this ribosomal RNA (468 nucleotides) under uncultured bacterium. RNAcentral describes it as "partial 16S ribosomal RNA". It matches the Rfam family "Bacterial small subunit ribosomal RNA", at positions 28 to 507 of the family's 1533-position model. The record is from RNAcentral.